UUUAGGCUUUCAUACCAGAAACUGGUCGUGGUAUACAAGGUGCAAAGAUGUUUGACAUCACAUUCACAAAUAAAGAAGGAAAAAGUAAAAGGUGUGGCGAAUUCUUGGGCUUAUAGUGCCAUAACGAUUGGAGUGAUGAUAUUGACUUAUGGAGAUGACAAAGGAUUGGUGAAUCCCCCUAACGUUGCACCAAUCCAAGUCAGACUCAGUGAGGAAGGAAAUGGUCUUGAUGUCUGUGAUAGCUAACCAAGAUUGAGCUUAACCGAAGUCUGUGAUAGCUUUGAUCCAAGGGUCUUGAUGUGAUCAAGCAAGCUCAAUCUGGAACACAAAGACAGCUAUGAAAUUUAAAUCCGGCGUUUUGCAACAGCUUGAUUACACUCUUGUCCAGUCCCAAGCUUUUGUUUUUACUCCUACCAUGUAGUGUUAGCUCAUUGCAGUUCACUUUUUUUUUUCCAUAGCAUAUUGUUUAAGUUGUUUGCAUGAAGUUGAUCUUGAAUGUUUGUCUUGCUUUUCUUGUUGGCAUGAAGUUGUUUGACGUCUUCACACAAUACAUAAAUUUCAUAAAUAAUACGAUACAUGGCAUACAUUAUAUUCCAAGAAACAGAAACAAACAAGAAAAUGGUAAAACUGGACAAUAAAGGUAAGCAAGUGGCAACAUUUAGUAGUCAUCACUUACAUAAACUCUCACCGUUAAUUUUGUAGAGUAAAGAGGCAUACAAUCUCGGUAUUUAUGGGUAAGAGAAUGAUAUAAUAAACAAGACAAAAUAACAUAGAUUAGAACCAUGUUGUACUGAUAGAGAAAAGAGGUGAUUUUAUGGAUGAAGAAGAGAGAAACACAAACAAAGAGAAAAAGAUCGUGGGAGGAGGAGGAGGAGGAGAAGAACGUGGAUAAAAUAUUUUCAAAUAUAUUUUGAGAGAUUUAUGUUAGAUUUAGUUUAGAAUUAGAAAACUUCUUUAACUGAAUAUGAAAGUUUCCAUAUUUUCACGGUUUGCCUAGAAUAUGUACACUACCUAAGCAGAACACCGUAUAGUAGGUGAAAAAUGUAUUCUUCAUGUAGGCGUCAUAUAAGGUAAAAGGCAGAACAAGUUAUGUCUCGUAAUAUAACUGACAUAUAUCAUUGAGUUGUGGCUAUAUAUCGUUAUCGAGCUGUAGGUAUACCGAAUACAUCUUUCUUGAUUAUAACGUAACUGAUUCUAUCUUUGCUAGAAUAUACAAGAAAAGUUAGUUUACGGUAUAUACCCUUGAUAUAUCUAUGUUUAAAACUUAGAAUCAGACAUAUAAACUAGGUAGAUUACCAGAAUGAGUAUUCUAAUUGUAGCUAGAAGAUAAAAUAAAAUAUGAUUUCAAUUUUUUUU
Long non-coding RNA from Brassica rapa (field mustard), 1356 nucleotides. RefSeq lists it as uncharacterized. Lineage: Eukaryota; Viridiplantae; Streptophyta; Magnoliopsida; Brassicales; Brassicaceae. The record is from RefSeq and is a predicted model, not a curated record.